GAUGAACGCUAGCUACAGGCUUAACACAUGCAAGUCGAGCGGGGUGAUGGUGCUUGCACUAUCACUUAGCGGCGGACGGGUGAGUAAUGCUUAGGAAUCUGCCUAUUAGUGGGGGACAACAUCUCGAAAGGGAUGCUAAUACCGCAUACGUCCUACGGGAGAAAGCAGGGGAUCUUCGGACCUUGCGCUAAUAGAUGAGCCUAAGUCGGAUUAGCUAGUUGGUGGGGUAAAGGCCUACCAAGGCGACGAUCUGUAGCGGGUCUGAGAGGAUGAUCCGCCACACUGGGACUGAGACACGGCCCAGACUCCUACGGGAGGCAGCAGUGGGGAAUAUUGGACAAUGGGGGGAACCCUGAUCCAGCCAUGCCGCAUGUGUGAAGAAGGCCUUAUGGUUGUAAAGCACUUUAAGCGAGGAGGAGGCUACUCUAGUUAAUACCUAGGGAUAGUGGACGUUACUCGCAGAAUAAGCACCGGCUAACUCUGUGCCAGCCGCCGCAGUAA
RNAcentral lists this ribosomal RNA (501 nucleotides) under uncultured bacterium. RNAcentral describes it as "partial 16S ribosomal RNA". It matches the Rfam family "Bacterial small subunit ribosomal RNA", at positions 28 to 523 of the family's 1533-position model. The record is from RNAcentral.